This 207-nucleotide long non-coding RNA is filed under the name Mytilus galloprovincialis (Mediterranean mussel). The record is from RNAcentral. Lineage: Eukaryota; Metazoa; Mollusca; Bivalvia; Mytilida; Mytilidae.
AUUGCACAUAAAAUUUAAUAAAAAAUCCUUAAAAAAAUCAGUAAUUUGUGACAAAUUGACACAAUUAAUAAACAUGUGUUCUAAAUCUUCUCUAGAUUGUGCACACACUGGACAAGUGUCAUUAUCAGUCAUGUUACAUUUUAAAAGUUUAACUUUAGUAAACAAAGUUCUAUGAAGUACUUGAAAAUUAAGUGUCCUGCAUUCACC